UUUGGGGGACGAUGUUUACCGACUCUUCUUCUCUGCCUCGGCCCUGCUUUUGGCUGGGGCUUUGAGCCUCUUCUGUUUUCCAGCCAGACCCGGAAAAAACGAAAACACAGUUUGGGGAGCCCCCACUAGCCGGCGCCUGUGCCAGCUCCUCUCUAGCCAUGGCGCAGCUGCGGGUGCACACAGCGGCCAAGGCCAGCGCCACAUUCUUCCCUCCCCCUCCCACUUCACCGAAACCCCGAACCCUGCGCGCAGAGGAAGGGCCUCAGCUCCACUGACUGCCAAAGUCGACUGGGUCCCUCCUCGCCAAAAAUGGUGAGAUGAGAUUUCGUCUUGUCCGCUGAGGAGCCACAAGCAG
Unclassified non-coding RNA from Microcebus murinus (gray mouse lemur), 355 nucleotides. The record is from Ensembl. Lineage: Eukaryota; Metazoa; Chordata; Mammalia; Primates; Cheirogaleidae.